ACUUGGUGUCUUACAAUCAAGAAUUCUGUCUCUGCUAGACCCCAGUGACACACCAGGAACUCUUUUCAAAAAGCAUGCAAGAUGCAGCAAUUCGUCUUUUGGAAGAAGAGUUGUCCUCACUUGGCCUGACCCAGCUGGAUCCCUACACACUUUACAACAGUGGAAGUUCACUCCGGUGCUAUCAAACUCCUGUAGUCUGUAAUGUGUAUGUCUUACCAACGUCUCCAUGUGCUAGCCACCCUCGCUCACUCACCUGAUCAACAGGAAGAAGAGUAGAACGUCCAGACAGCUCAGAGCUCAUCUGAUCCUAUUAUAACAGAAGGUAACGCAGGUCCCAAAUAAAGCUGUAAAUGUAUAUUCUUCAUGUAAA
Suricata suricatta (meerkat) is the source of this 370-nucleotide long non-coding RNA. RefSeq lists it as uncharacterized. Lineage: Eukaryota; Metazoa; Chordata; Mammalia; Carnivora; Herpestidae. The transcript has 2 exons. The record is from RefSeq and is a predicted model, not a curated record.